Molecule: small nucleolar RNA, 138 nt
Organism: Carcharodon carcharias (great white shark)
Lineage: Eukaryota; Metazoa; Chordata; Chondrichthyes; Lamniformes; Lamnidae
Product: small nucleolar RNA SNORA84
Exons: 1
Source: RefSeq, a predicted model, not a curated record
GCCCUGUGGUUACUGUGAACUGGGAUGACCAUGCAGUUCUGCAGUUAUUAAGGAUGGGCAAACAAUAACACUGUGAUAUUUGCAUGGAGGCUGUAACGGUUGAUAUACAGUCUCGGUAGCCCGGUCACAGAGACAUUG